RNAcentral lists this long non-coding RNA (844 nucleotides) under Capsicum annuum. Its description in RNAcentral is "long non-coding RNA (CANN_LNC009595)". The record is from RNAcentral. Lineage: Eukaryota; Viridiplantae; Streptophyta; Magnoliopsida; Solanales; Solanaceae.
AGCCUCGAAUGAACACUAAGAAAAAACAACAUAGCUGAUCAAUCGCUCCUUAAAAAUAAUAAGAUCAACACUCUUAGCCCUCACCUCCUCGCAAAGUACAUUUUUUCAACAAAACAAAGAAUCAUCAAUCUAAUUCAUAAUUCAAUUACAAUCAAUUGAAUAAAAAAAAUAGCCAACCAAGAAUGGGAAUAAGAAACCUCCCUUAAGGUCAAUGGUAAUUCGACCAGUGAAACCUGGAGGAAACUCCGAAUACCCCGAUAUCUCGAUUGGCUCAAUUCCCAAUAUUCAUAAUUCCAGCACCUACAUACAGAAAAACCAACACCCAAAUAACAAAUUUUAACAAAAAUAAAGAUCAAACAAACAAAUCUAAGUGCAUUGAGUAAAUGCACUAAACAUAUUAUUUUUGUCCAUUUUUUUUCUUUCUGAUUCACUCUUAUGUCCAUUUCUUACAAAGAAGAAGACAACAUAAAUAUGACAUUUCCAUUUACAUAUGUCAAGCACCGGAGUACUCAUGGCUGGUUUUUGAGUUCAGUUUCCAGCAAACUCUACUUUGUUUCUUCAUCUUUUGCAGUGGCGGUAGUUGAAGCCCUACAAAUCGGUGAGCUGUUCCCGAUGGUGGUCUUGUCGGUGACAAGCGGCAGCGAUAGCAACAUUUGAUUAUCCAUCAUCGGCGGUCAGUUUAUGGGGGGAGCGAGAAAGAGAAAGAAAGAAAGAUGGAGUUGCAGAGAGAGUGUAGUGAAGGGGCGGCUGAGUCUUUGCCAAAAAUGAGGGAUUAGGGUUUUCUUUUUGGUUUAAAAGGAAUGAGGAUAGGGUUUAUCCAGUCAUUAGAUCAACUGAUCAACGA